RNAcentral lists this ribosomal RNA (429 nucleotides) under Chloroflexota bacterium. RNAcentral's name for it is "Chloroflexi bacterium partial 16S ribosomal RNA". It matches the Rfam family "Bacterial small subunit ribosomal RNA", at positions 355 to 776 of the family's 1533-position model. The record is from RNAcentral. Lineage: Bacteria; Bacillati; Chloroflexota.
UGGGGAAUAUUGCACAAUGGGCGCAAGCCUGAUGCAGCCAUGCCGCGUGUAUGAAGAAGGCCUUCGGGUUGUAAAGUACUUUCAGUCGGGAGGAAGGUGGUAAGGUUAAUAACCUUGGCAAUUGACGUUACCGACAGAAGAAGCACCGGCUAACUCCGUGCCAGCAGCCGCGGUAAUACGGAGGGUGCAAGCGUUAAUCGGAAUUACUGGGCGUAAAGCGCACGCAGGCGGUUGAUUGAGUCAGAUGUGAAAUCCCCGGGCUUAACCCGGGAAUUGCAUCUGAUACUGGUCAGCUAGAGUCUUGUAGAGGGGAGGAGAAUUCCAUGUGUAGCGGUGAAAUGCGUAGAGAUGUGGAGGAAUACCGGUGGCGAAGGCGGCCCCCUGGACAAAGACUGACGCUCAGGUGCGAAAGCGUGGGGAGCAAACAGG